GAUGAACGCUGGCGGCGUGCCUAAUACAUGCAAGUCGAGCGAACAGAUGAGGAGCUUGCUCCUCUGACGUUAGCGGCGGACGGGUGAGUAACACGUGGAUAACCUACCUAUAAGACUGGGAUAACUUCGGGAAACCGGAGCUAAUACCGGAUAAUAUAUUGAACCGCAUGGUUCAAUAGUGAAAGACGGUUUUGCUGUCACUUAUAGAUGGAUCCGCGCUGCAUUAGCUAGUUGGUAAGGUAACGGCUUACCAAGGCAACGAUGCGUAGCCGACCUGAGAGGGUGAUCGGCCACACUGGAAGUGAGACACGGUCCAGACUCCUACGGGAGGCAGCAGUAGGGAAUCUUCCGCAAUGGGCGAAAGCCUGACGGAGCAACGCCGCGUGAGUGAUGAAGGUCUUCGGAUCGUAAAACUCUGUUAUUAGGGAAGAACAAAUGUGUAAGUAACUGUGCACGUAUUGACGGUACCUAAUCAGAAAGCCACGGCUAACUACGUG
Molecule: ribosomal RNA, 497 nt
Filed under: uncultured bacterium
Lineage: Bacteria
Description: partial 16S ribosomal RNA
Rfam family: Bacterial small subunit ribosomal RNA
Source: RNAcentral